CGCCUACGGGGGGCAGCAGUGAGGAAUAUUGGUCAAUGGGCUUACGCCUGAACCAGCCAAGUUGCGUGAGGGAAGACUGCCCUAUGGGUUGUAAACCUCUUUUGUCAGGGAGCAACGCCGGCUACGUGUAGCCGGACUGAGAGUACCUGAAGAAAAAGCAUCGGCUAACUCCGUGCCAGCAGCCGCGGUAAUACGGAGGAUCCGAGCGUUAUCCGGAUUUAUUGGGUUUAAAGGGUGCGUAGGCGGCCUUUUAAGUCAGCGGUGAAAGUCUGUGGCUCAACCAUAGAAUUGCCGUUGAAACUGGG
This 305-nucleotide ribosomal RNA is filed under the name uncultured bacterium. RNAcentral's name for it is "bacterial SSU rRNA". It matches the Rfam family "Bacterial small subunit ribosomal RNA", at positions 336 to 637 of the family's 1533-position model. The record is from RNAcentral.